RNAcentral lists this ribosomal RNA (252 nucleotides) under uncultured prokaryote. RNAcentral describes it as "partial 16S rRNA". It matches the Rfam family "Archaeal small subunit ribosomal RNA", at positions 475 to 726 of the family's 1478-position model. The record is from RNAcentral.
ACCGGCAGCUCAAGUGGUGGCCAUUUUUAUUGGGCCUAAAGCGUUCGUAGCCGGUUUGUUAAGUCUCUGGUGAAAUCCCGCGGCUUAACUGUGAGACUUGCUGGAGAUACUAUUAGACUUGAGGCCGGGAGAGGUUAGGGGUACUCCCAGGGUAGGGGUGAAAUCCUAUAAUCCUUGGAGGACCACCUGUGGCGAAGGCGCCUAACUGGAACGAACCUGACGGUGAGGAACGAAAGCCGGGGGAGCAAACCG